CGCGUAGGCGGGCAUUCAAGUCCGGGGUGAAAGCCCCCAGCUUAACUGGGAAGGGCCUUGGAAACUGGAUGUCUCGAGGGAGGUAGGGGCCUGUGGAACUUCGGGUGGAGCGGUGAAAUGCGUUGAUAUCCGAAGGAACGCCGGUGGCGAAAGCGACGGGCUGGACCUCUUCUGACGCUGAGGCGCGAAAGCCAGGGGAGCAAACG
Molecule: ribosomal RNA, 206 nt
Filed under: uncultured bacterium
Lineage: Bacteria
Description: partial 16S ribosomal RNA
Rfam family: Bacterial small subunit ribosomal RNA
Source: RNAcentral